GAUUGGAUGCGGGGGCUUCACCGCCUACCAAAUCCUGACAAACUCCGAAUGCCAGUAGUAUGAUUUACAGCAGUGAGUGACUGGGUGCUAAUGUCCAGUCGCAAAAGAGGAACAACUCAGACCAGCAACUAAGGUCCCGAAGAAUAUGCUAAGUUGAUCUAACGAUGUUUUGUUGCAGAGACAGCUAGGAUGUUAGCUUGGAAGCAGCUAUUCAUUCAAAGAGUGCGUAACAGCUCACUAGUCGAGCGACAGAGCGUGGAUAAUAAACGGGCAUCAAGCAUAUCACCGAAGUUCUGGGCGCGAGAGCGCGGUAGGGGAGCAUUCCAUUCAGCGUCGAAGCAGUUUCGUGAGGAAUUGUGGAGCGUAUGGAAAAGCAAAUGUAGGCAUGAGUAACGAUAAUGCGGGAGAGUAACCCGCACACCGCAAGACCAAGGUUUCCUGAUCAACGCUAAUCGGAUCAGGGUUAGUCGGGUCCUAAGGGUAAGCCGAACGGCGAUCUCGAUGGAUAAUCGGUUAAUAUUCCGAUACUAACAUAUACCUCGAUGGAGAGACGAAGGAACGUAAGUGCCGCCACCUGACGGAAUAGGUGGUUAAAGGGCGUAGGUAUAGGGGCAGAUUAAGAGUUAGUCCUUGCUGAAACCUGACAGUACAGAGAGCCUACGGGCAAUUUGAUAGAGCACCCAAGUCGACUUCCGAGAAAAUCUUCUAAGUUAUAGUAUAUGUUACCCGUACCGUAAACCGACACAGGUGGUCGAGGAGAGUAUCCUAAGGUGCUCGAGUGAAUCACGGUUAAGGAACUAGGCAAAUUAACCCCGUAACUUCGGGAAAAGGGGUCCCUAUGAAAGUAGGGCGCAGCGAAGAGGUCCAGGCGACUGUUUAUCAAAAACACAGGGCUCUGCAAAUUCGAAAGAAGACGUAUAGGGCCUGACACCUGCCCGGUGCUGGAAGGUUAAGAGGGGAUGUCAUCGCAAGAGAAGCAUUGAAUCGAAGCCCCAGUAAACGGCGGCCGUAACUAUAACGGUCCUAAGGUAGCGAAAUUCCUUGUCGGGUAAGUUCCGACCUGCACGAAUGGUGUAACGAUCUGGACACUGUCUCAACCGUGAGCUCGGUGAAAUUGUAGUCCCGGUGAUGAUGCCGGGUACCCGCAACGGGACGAAAAGACCCCGUGAACCUUUACUAUAGCUUAACGCUGAAUUUGGGUACACAAUGUGUAGGAUAGGCCGGAGGCUUUGAAGCGGGCACGCCAGUGUUCGUGGAGCCGACGUUGAAAUACGGCCCUUUGUGUAUUUGAGUUCUAACCCUGCGAAGGGGACACCGUUUGGUGGGUAGUUUGACUGGGGUGGUCGCCUCCAAAAGCGUAACGGAGGCUUCCCAAGGUACCCUCAGCACGAAUGGUAACCGUGCGCGGAGUGCAAUAGCAUAAGGGUGCUUGACUGUGAGACAUACAAGUCGACCAGGUACGAAAGUAGGGUAUAGUGAUCCGGUGGUUCUGCGUGGACUGGCCAUCGCUCAAAGGAUAAAAGGUACUCCGGGGAUAACAGGCUGAUCGCCGCCAAGAGCUCAUAUCGACGCGGCGGUUUGGCACCUCGAUGUCGGCUCGUCACAUCCUGGGGCUGGAGAAGGUCCCAAGGGUUCGGCUGUUCGCCGAUUAAAGUGGCACGCGAGCUGGGUUCAGAACGUCGUGAGACAGUUCGGUCUCUAUCUGUUGCGGGCGUAGGAAGAUUGAGGGGUCCUGACUUUAGUACGAGAGGACCGAGUUGGACGAACCUCCGGUGUAUCGGUUAUGCUGCCAAGUGUACUGCCGAGUAGCCGCGUUCGGUCUGGAUAAGCGCUGAAAGCAUCUAAGCGCGAAGCCAUCCCCAAGAUAAGUCUUCCCUUGAGGGGCGUAGGAGACGACUACGUUGAUAGGCUGCAGGUGUAAAGACAGUAAUGUCAAAGCCGAGCAGUACUAAUUACCCGAGAGGCUUUUUU
Molecule: ribosomal RNA, 1971 nt
Filed under: human gut metagenome
Description: bacterial LSU rRNA
Rfam family: Bacterial large subunit ribosomal RNA
Source: RNAcentral